RNAcentral lists this ribosomal RNA (468 nucleotides) under uncultured bacterium. RNAcentral's name for it is "partial 16S ribosomal RNA". It matches the Rfam family "Bacterial small subunit ribosomal RNA", at positions 28 to 507 of the family's 1533-position model. The record is from RNAcentral.
GACGAACGCUGGCGGCGUGCUUAACACAUGCAAGUCGAACGGAAAGGCCCUGCUUUUGUGGGGUGCUCGAGUGGCGAACGGGUGAGUAAUACGUGAGUAACCUGCCCUUGACUUUGGGAUAACUUCAGGAAACUGGGGCUAAUACCGGAUAGGAGCUCCUGCUGCAUUGUGGGGGUUGGAAAGUUUCGGCGGUUGGGGAUGGACUCGCGGCUUAUCAGCUUGUUGGUGGGGUAGUGGCUUACCAAGGCUUUGACGGGUAGCCGGCCUGAGAGGGUGACCGGCCACAUUGGGACUGAGAUACGGCCCAGACUCCUACGGGAGGCAGCAGUGGGGAAUAUUGCACAAUGGGCGGAAGCCUGAUGCAGCAACGCCGCGUGCGGGAUGACGGCCUUCGGGUUGUAAACCGCUUUCGCCUGUGACGAAGCGUGAGUGACGGUAAUGGGUAAAGAAGCACCGGCUAACUACGUG